RNAcentral lists this ribosomal RNA (478 nucleotides) under uncultured bacterium. Its description in RNAcentral is "bacterial SSU rRNA". It matches the Rfam family "Bacterial small subunit ribosomal RNA", at positions 28 to 507 of the family's 1533-position model. The record is from RNAcentral.
GAUGAACGCUGGCGGCGUGCCUAACACAUGCAAGUCGAGCGAUUUACUUCGGUAAAGAGCGGCGGACGGGUGAGUAACGCGUGGGUAACCUGCCCUGUACACACGGAUAACAUACCGAAAGGUAUGCUAAUACGAGAUAAUAUGCUUUUAUCGCAUGGUAGAAGUAUCAAAGCUUUUGCGGUACAGGAUGGACCCGCGUCUGAUUAGCUAGUUGGUAAGGUAACGGCUUACCAAGGCGAGGAUGCGUAGCCGAACUGAGAGGUUGAUCGGCCACAUUGGAACUGAGACACGGUCCAAACUCCUACGGGAGGCAGCAGUAAGGAGUUUUCGGCAAUGGGGGAAACCCUGACCGAGCAACGCCGCGUGAGUGAUGACGGCCCUAUGGGUUGUAAAGCUCUGUUAUAAGGGACGAACAGCUUUGCGAGGAAAUGCGCAGAGUCUGACGGUACUUUAUCAGAAAGCCACGGCUAACUACGUG